Molecule: long non-coding RNA, 1698 nt
Filed under: Homo sapiens (human)
Lineage: Eukaryota; Metazoa; Chordata; Mammalia; Primates; Hominidae
Description: HSALNT0341390
Source: RNAcentral
CCUACCUGUAGGUGGCCAACGCCGGGCGCUGGGCCGCCGCUCCUGCCUUGCACGUUAGAGAGCCGGUACAUGCAGGUGGGAAGCUCCACACGGAGAGGCGCGCCGCGCCCGUGAUAAGGUUUUACCUGGUACAUCGGCAUGGCGGAACCAAAGCAAGAGAGGGUGGCGCGUGCCAAACACCAACGCUCAGAAACCGUCCGAGGCUACGACUGGGGGCGGACAUCUCCCUUGUGACCCUGCUGCGGUCGUUCGGGAAAAAAAAAAAAAGCAGUCCGGUGUGCUCUGAUUGGCCCAUGCUCUUUGACGUCACGGACUCGACCUUUGACGGAGCUAAUAGGCGAAAAGGAGAGACGGGAAGUAUUUUUUCCGCCCCGCCCAGAAAGGGUGGAGCACAACGUCAAAAGCAGCCAAUGGGAGCCCAGGAGGCGGGGCGCCUGUGGGAGUCGUGGAGGGAACUUUCCCAGGCCCCGAGGCGGAUCGGGUAUUGAGUCCAUGGAGCGAGCUGAGAGCUAGAGUACAGAACCUGCUAAGGCCAUCAAACCUAUCGAUCGGAAGUCAGUCCAUCAGAUUUGCUCUGGGCCGGUGGUACUGAGUCUAAGCACUGCGGUGAAGGAGUUAGUAGAAAACAGUCUGGAUGCUGGUGCCACCAAUAUUGAUCUAAAGCUUAAGGACUAUGGAGUGGAUCUCAUUGAAGUUUCAGACAAUGGAUGUGGGGUAGAAGAAGAAAACUUUGAAGGCUUAACGAUGUCACCAUUUCUACCUGCCACGCAUCGGCGAAGGUUGGGACUCGACUGGUGUUUGAUCACGAUGGGAAAAUCAUCCAGAAAACCCCCUACCCCCACCCCAGAGGGACCACAGUCAGCGUGAAGCAGUUAUUUUCUACACUACCUGUGCACCAUAAGGAAUUUCAAAGGAAUAUUAAGAAGACGUGCCUGUUUCCCCUUCGCCUUCUGCCGUGAUUGUCAGUUUCCUGAGGCCUCCCCAGCCAUGCUUCCUGUACAGCCUGCAGAACUGAUGGCCGUAUAAGAAAAUAAACAACUUGCUAAAACUGCUGAAACUCCCUCUGCUUGUGAGAUUUAAAAAAACUGGCUGAAAUUGGUUGGAACCAACAUGUCCAAUGGAGUCUGAAUAGAAAGAGCUUGCUGACAUCACAGCCCGAAUUUCCACCACAUUUCAUACUAACUCCCCCUGAAUUUGCAUAUGCAAACCACAAGCAAGCAUGAUCAAACAGACAACUGCGCGUGUCCGAGGACUUUCCAGAUCUCCCCUUUCCUUCCACCAAUCACUUACUAAUCUGAGAAUCCAUCCCCUAAUAAAAUCACUGCCUUAAAGCCUGCACAGGAAGACAAAUUUGAGCUGGACUCAGUGUCUCUUUAUUAGUCGACUUGCAAUAAAAAAGCUUUCUUUUCCCCCCUCAAAAACCCUAUGUCAAUUAGUAUUGGCUUCCAGAGCAUCAGGUAGUGAGCCCCUUUUGCUCAGUAACAGAGCUUAAGGUGAAUAAAAAAGGCAAAUAAUGAUAUGGUUCAAGACAUCAUUACGAAAGCAUGGCUGGAAAACUGCUAGCCUUACCAAGUGCAUAAAAAACAUGAAAAUUAUUUAUUGAUAAGCAUUAGUCAUAAAAGUGUACUCUACCUCAAUUUAAAUACUGCUUAUGUGUGGAUUACACAAACAACCAUGUAUGCAGUAGCUACUUCAAAG